This is a long non-coding RNA of Parus major (Great Tit), 715 nucleotides long. RefSeq lists it as uncharacterized. NCBI's taxonomy places the organism in Eukaryota, Metazoa, Chordata, Aves, Passeriformes, Paridae. The record is from RefSeq and is a predicted model, not a curated record. The transcript has 3 exons.
GAAACAAAGAGAACCAAGAGAGCUCUGGUUUUACACUUUAAGAUGUCAUUUUCAACGAUUGAGUGACCAGCUGGGAUCGCUUCCCAAAAGAAAAGGAUUUAAAGAGAAUUUUUAAGGAAGGAAGAAGAGUGAUUAUAUCCUGGGAAACAGAAAAUACCUUUGAGUUUUCUACAGUCAGCACCUCUCAAAUUUCUACUCUGUUUCUGAAUGAAUUGGCUUUCCAUGGAAAAUAUCAUACUGAUUUUUCUUCUUAGUUAAUCUUCUGUAUUUUUUAUCCCUAUAAUAUACUUAAUUUAAAACAUUUCCUUGUUGUUUCACUUCAUUUAUUUGGCAUAAUAGAAAUAAAACUUGUAUUUAGUAUAUGUUACAAUGAAGAAAUAGCUCCCAGCUUUACAAUAAAACCAGAGGUGUUUAUUAUGUAACAGUAGCUCUUUGUUUCACUACAACUUGCAUUCAAAAUGUCCAUGGUUUAUUUAUUAGAAUAUGAUAUUAUCAGCUCCAUGUUACUUGCAACCUGAAAAUAUAUCCAGAGCCUCAACUCAGUUAUGACUUGAAAUAUGUGUUAGAAUAAUAGAUUGCUAUUGGAAGGGAUGAUUCUAUUUUCUGAUGGCUUUGUCACAUGUUUCAAUUCUGUACAUCUUACAUCCACAGUAAACCGGAGACUUUCAUUUGUUUUCAAUCUGUAAAAAAGAAAGUGAAAAAGAAAGAGAAAAAG